CUGAAACAAAUAUGAAUACCAGAACUGUAGAUAUAGAGUGUCAUAGUUUAGGUUUCCUGAGAGCAGACCCCAAAACAAUGAUCCAAGUGCAAGUAAUUUAUUUGGCUGAUGAUUCCAGGAAAUACUGGGAAGGGAGUUAGGGAGACAGAAACCAGAAGAUAGAAACUAAAGGCCACUUCAUUGAACACAUCACAAUGGUGCCCACACCAGCGAAGGAGCCAAGAGGUCAUUAGAACUCCAUUUUCCACUCUUGAUACUGCUCAUUGAAAACAUUCAUUCCUCUUCCAUUCCUUUACCGAUGAGAAGGCGAGGCUAUAGUGAGAUGGGGGUCUUCCUGUGCCACAUCACCAAGCACCAUCGCUACUGGGUCCCCACACACCUAUCCUGUACUAGCAGAGUCCAUAAGAGCACUGCAAAAGAUGAUACAUUUCAGUACGAGUGGGGCUCUCUCUCCUAGACGCCAUCUCUAACCCUUCUGAUAAGUGUUCUUUAGGUGGUUCUCACUCCAGUGGAGCAAUUCAGCAGAAUAAAAAUGAUUUAUGAUAAAACUACAAAGCUGCUGGAAUGUACAUGAAGAUAUUGAAAAGUUGUUCGCUCACACGAAGAAGGAAGCAUGCAGACAACUGGAGGGGAAACAAGGCAGAGAGGAGCUUCAUUGAGAGAAAGAACAGCUCUCAGGAUACCCAAAGUGGGUAGCUCCUUUCUGCAGGCAGGUCAUCCAGACAAGAGUCCAGUUCUCAGCGGAGAGGAGACCCAGAGUGGGUAGCUCCUUUCCACAGGCAGGUCAUGCAGGUGAGCUGAGAAAACUUGAAGUGGGUAGCACCUUCUCACAGCUGGUAGUCCCAGUGUCUCUGUGAGUCUGGCUGAGUCCAGGGGUUUUUGUGGGCUUCAGAAGGGAGGAGGUGCAUGCUGAUUGGUCUAUGGGUAACCAUGGGUGGGCCCUAAAAAGCACCGUAAGUUCUCGCUCUUGGCACAGAUUCCACCUGCAACUGGCAGCCUGGGCCCCAUGCUUCAGGCCAUCCCUGGCUUGAAGAUGGGGCUUCACUCACCCCUUUCUGCCCAGGAGCCUGUCUGCUUCCUGCUGCCAUCAAUCAUGUCAUCCACAGCAUCCACCCAGGCUGUUCAAGUGGAGCGCAUGUCAAGCCACCCUCACCCACCCUGUGCCCCCCACCAUGCUCCUCAGCGCCCAAAGUCCGGAGGGGGCUGAGGAGGCAGGGGGCUGAUGUGUCAGCACUGCCCUGAGCAAGCAUACACCCAGCCAGGUUGCGACAGUGCCUGCCUGGGCUCAGCCUCAACUUUGCUCCAAAAUCAGAGCAGGCACUGGGAGAGAGGAGAGGCCAGUCCACGGGGACAGACACUUCUGAGACUGUGGGGGAAGAGGGGCUUCCUGGCCCGAGAGUACAAGGAUGCCUGGGUCUGGAACUGCAACAGGGCAGCUGCAUCUGUGCCUGGUGAGCAGACAGACCCUGACCCGCCAACUUAGAAGGGGAUGGAUCCCCCACUCCUGCUCCCCAUCCCCCUCCCCAUGGGGCACGCAGCCCCAGACACGCCUUCCCAGCUGCAGCCCAAGUCUUCACAGUGGCCGUUCUAGACGGGCUGCCACUGCCAUCAUAUAUAUGUGUGUACGCACUAAAAAUAGAAUUCUUACAAAGUAACUAAAAACAAAGAAGACAAGUGACCUAGUAGAAAAAGAAGCGGAGUAUAUACACAUAUAUGAUGAAGCAAUUCACACAAGAACAAAUAUGGAUGGUGAUACAGUUUGGCUCUGUGUCCCCAUCCGCAUUUUAUCUUGAAUCGUAAUCUCCACAUGUUGGAGGAGUGGCCUGGUGGAAGGUGAUUGGAUUAUGGGGGCACAUUUCCCCCUCACUAUUCUCCUGAUAGUGGAUAAGUUCUCAUGAGACCUGACGGUCUACAAGUAUGUGGCACUUCUCUCUCUGCUGCUCCACAAUGUGAAAAUGAACUUGCUUCCCCUUCACCUUCUGCCGUGACUGUAAGUUUCCUGAGGCCUCCCAAGCCAUGCUUCCUGUUAAGCCUGCAGAACUGUGAGUCAAUUAAACCUCUUUUCUUCAAAAAUUACCCAGUCUCAGGUGUUUCUUUACAACAGUGUGAGAAAGGAUUAAUACAGAU
This 2127-nucleotide long non-coding RNA is filed under the name Homo sapiens (human). RNAcentral's name for it is "HSALNT0191853". The record is from RNAcentral. Lineage: Eukaryota; Metazoa; Chordata; Mammalia; Primates; Hominidae.